This is a non-coding RNA of Stegodyphus mimosarum, 73 nucleotides long. Lineage: Eukaryota; Metazoa; Arthropoda; Arachnida; Araneae; Eresidae. The record is from Rfam.
GCCUUCGUGGUGCAGUGGUCAGCACGCUCGGCGCGUAAUCGAGAGGUCCGUGGUUCGAGUCCCGGCUAGUUCA